Molecule: ribosomal RNA, 468 nt
Filed under: uncultured bacterium
Lineage: Bacteria
Description: partial 16S ribosomal RNA
Rfam family: Bacterial small subunit ribosomal RNA
Source: RNAcentral
GACGAACGCUGGCGGCGUGCUUAACACAUGCAAGUCGAACGGAAAGGCCCUGCUUUUGUGGGGUGCUCGAGUGGCGAACGGGUGAGUAACACGUGAGUAACCUGCCCUUGACUUUGGGAUAACUUCAGGAAACUGGGGCUAAUACCGGAUAGGAGCUCCUGCUGCAUGGUGGGGGUUGGACAGUUUCGGCGGUUGGGGAUGGACUCGCGGCUUAUCAGCUUGUUGGUGGGGUAGUGGCUUACCAAGGCUUUGACGGGUAGCCGGCCUGAGAGGGUGACCGGCCACAUGAGGACUGAGGUACGGCCCAGACGCCUACGGGAGGCAGCAGUGGGGAAUAUUGCCCAAUGGGCGGAAGCCUGAUGCAGCAACGCCGCGUUCGGGAUGACGGCCUUCGGGUUGUAAACCGCUUUCGCCUGUGACGAAGCGUGAGUGACGGUAAUGGGUAAAGAAGCACCGGCUAACUACGUG